UACGUAGGGUGCAAGCGUUAAUCGGAAUUACUGGGCGUAAAGGGCGCGUAGGCGGCCAUCUAAGUCAGACGUGAAAUCCCCCGGCUCAACCUGGGAACUGCGUCUGAUACUGGGAGGCUAGAGUUUGGGAGAGGGAUGUAGAAUUCCAGGUGUAGCGGUGAAAUGCGUAGAUAUCUGGAGGAAUACCGGUGGCGAAGGCGGCAUCCUGGACCAAUACUGACGCUGAGGCGCGAAAGCUAGGGGAGCAAACGGG
This 253-nucleotide ribosomal RNA is filed under the name uncultured bacterium. RNAcentral describes it as "partial 16S ribosomal RNA". It matches the Rfam family "Bacterial small subunit ribosomal RNA", at positions 524 to 776 of the family's 1533-position model. The record is from RNAcentral.